RNAcentral lists this ribosomal RNA (497 nucleotides) under uncultured bacterium. RNAcentral describes it as "partial 16S ribosomal RNA". It matches the Rfam family "Bacterial small subunit ribosomal RNA", at positions 28 to 507 of the family's 1533-position model. The record is from RNAcentral.
GAUGAACGCUGGCGGCGUGCCUAAUACAUGCAAGUCGAGCGAACAGAUGAGGAGCUUGCUCCUCUGACGUUACCGGCGGACGGGUGAGUAACACGUGGAUAACCGACCUUUAAGACUGGGAUAACUUCGGGAAACCGGAUCUAAUACCGGAUCAUAUAUUGAACCGCAUGGUUCUAUAGUGCUCGACGGUUCUGCUGUCACUUAUAGAUGGAUCCGCGCCGCAUUAGCUAGUUGGUAAGGUAACGGCUUACCAAGGCGACGAUGCGUAGCCGACCUGAGAGGAUGAUCAGCCACACUGGAACUGAGACACGGUCCAGACUCCUACGGGAGGCAGCAGUAGGGAAUAUUCCGCAAUGGGCGAAAGCCUGACGGAGCAACGCCGCGUGAGUGAUGAAGGUCUUCGGAUCGUAAAACUCUGUUAUUAGGGAAGAACAAAAGUGUGAGUAACUAUGCACGUCUUGACGGUACCAAAACAGAAAGCCACGGCUAACUACGUG